AUUGAACGCUGGCGGCAGGCUUAACACAUGCAAGUCGAACGAGUGGCGGACGGGUGAGUAACGCUUGGGAAUCUUGCCUUUGGAGGGGGAUAACUACGGGAAACUGUAGCUUAUACCCCGUACCAUAGGAUGAGCCUAUGUGGGAUUGGGUAGUUGGUGGGGUAACGGCUAGCCAAGCCGACGAUCACUAGCUGGUCUGAGAGGAUGACCGGCCACACUGAGACUGAGACACGGCCCAGACUCCUACGGGAGGCAGCAGUGGGGAAUAUUGGACAAUGGGGGCAAGCCUGAUGCAGCCAUGCCGCGUGUAUGAAGAAGGCCUUAGGGUUGUAAAGUACUUUCGGCAGGAAGGCGUUACCCGCAGAAAAAGCACCGGCUAACUCCGUGCCAGCCGCCGCGGUAAUUC
This 406-nucleotide ribosomal RNA is filed under the name uncultured bacterium. RNAcentral's name for it is "partial 16S ribosomal RNA". It matches the Rfam family "Bacterial small subunit ribosomal RNA", at positions 30 to 526 of the family's 1533-position model. The record is from RNAcentral.